GACGAACGCUGGCGGCAUGCCUAAUACAUGCAAGUCGAGCGAGCAGAUGAAGUGCUUGCACUUCUGACGUUAGCGGCGAACGGGUGAGUAACACGUAAGGAAUCUACCUAUAAGCGGGGGAUAACAUUCGGAAACGGGUGCUAAUACCGCAUAAUAUCUUCUUCCGCAUGGAAGAAGAUUGAAAGACGACUCUGCUGUCACUUAUAGAUGACCUUGCGGUGCAUUAGUUAGUUGGUGGGGUAACGGCCUACCAAGACGAUGAUGCAUAGCCGACAUGAGAGGGUGAUCGGCCACAUUGGGACUGAGACACGGCCCAAACUCCUACGGGAGGCAGCAGUAGGGAAUCUUCCGCAAUGGGCGAAAGCCUGACGGAGCAAUGCCGCGUGAGUGAAGAAGGCCUUCGGGUCGUAAAACUCUGUUAUAAGAGAAGAACAAAUUGUAGAGUAACUGCUACAGUCUUGACGGUAUCUUAUCAGAAAGCCACGGCUAACUACGUGCCAGCCGCCGCUGUAA
Molecule: ribosomal RNA, 513 nt
Filed under: uncultured bacterium
Lineage: Bacteria
Description: partial 16S ribosomal RNA
Rfam family: Bacterial small subunit ribosomal RNA
Source: RNAcentral